CCUACGGGAGGCUGCAGUGGGGAAUCUUGCACAAUGGGCGAAAGCCUGAUGCAGCAACGCCGCGUGAAGGAAGACGGUUUUCGGAUCGUAAACUUCUGUCAAUAGGGAAGAAAGAAAUGACGGUACCUAAAUAAGAAGCCGCGGCUAACUACGUGCCAGCAGCCGCGGUAAUACGUAGGGGGCAAGCGUUAUGCGGAAUUACUGGGUGUAAAGGGAGAGUAGGCGGCAAUGUAAGCGAUAUGUGAAAGCCUUAAGCUUAACUAAAGGAUUGCAUAAGGAACUUGCUAGCUAGAGUACAGGAGAGGAGAGCGGAAUUCCUAGUGUAGCGGUGAAAUGCGUAGAUAUUAGGAAGAACACCAGUGGCGAAGGCGGCUUUCUGGACUGAAACUGACGCUGAGGCUCGAAAGCGUGGGGAGCGAACAGGAUUAGAUACCCCUGUAGUC
RNAcentral lists this ribosomal RNA (443 nucleotides) under uncultured bacterium. Its description in RNAcentral is "partial 16S ribosomal RNA". It matches the Rfam family "Bacterial small subunit ribosomal RNA", at positions 338 to 795 of the family's 1533-position model. The record is from RNAcentral.